ACGAACGCUGGCGGCGUGCCUAAUACAUGCAAGUUGAGCGCUGAAGGUUGGUACUUGUACCGACUGGAUGAGCAGCGAACGGGUGAGUAACGCGUGGGGAAUCUGCCUUUGAGCGGGGGACAACAUUUGGAAACGAAUGCUAAUACCGCAUAAAAACUUUAAACACAAGUUUUAAGUUUGAAAGAUGCAAUUGCAUCACUCAAAGAGGAUCCCGCGUUGUAUUAGCUAGUUGGUGAGGUAAAGGCUCACCAAGGCGAUGAUACAUAGCCGACCUGAGAGGGUGAUCGGCCACAUUGGGACUGAGACACGGCCCAAACUCCUACGGGAGGCAGCAGUAGGGAAUCUUCGGCAAUGGACGAAAGUCUGACCGAGCAACGCCGCGUGAGUGAAGAAGGUUUUCGGAUCGUAAAACUCUGUUGGUAGAGAAGAACGUUGGUGAGAGUGGAAAGCGCAUCAAGUGACGGUAACUACCCAGAAAGGGACGGCUAACUACGUG
This 496-nucleotide ribosomal RNA is filed under the name uncultured bacterium. RNAcentral's name for it is "partial 16S ribosomal RNA". It matches the Rfam family "Bacterial small subunit ribosomal RNA", at positions 29 to 507 of the family's 1533-position model. The record is from RNAcentral.